RNAcentral lists this long non-coding RNA (299 nucleotides) under Brassica napus (rape). RNAcentral's name for it is "long non-coding RNA (BNAP_LNC009301)". Lineage: Eukaryota; Viridiplantae; Streptophyta; Magnoliopsida; Brassicales; Brassicaceae. The record is from RNAcentral.
UGGUGUUAUCUUGGGACUAACGAUUGGAUACAUACUUGUUUCGUACAGACCAGAGUGGUUCGUGAACCCUUGUGUCCGAAAGAAACACAAACACAGACGCAGGAGCAACGCAACUCAUUAAAGGAGGUAUUGUUCUGACUUUUGAACCAAUAUGUUAGCAAAUACUUGAAGAAACAAAACAUAAUAAUGAAACUGAUUACCUUUUGUCUUUUGGUUUGUAUAGGCGUUUUAUAACCUACCUGAAGAAUCUGGAAGAUUAAAUUCAAAGCAACCACUAUGUCUGAAUACAAAUAUGUGAA